This 253-nucleotide ribosomal RNA is filed under the name uncultured bacterium. Its description in RNAcentral is "partial 16S ribosomal RNA". It matches the Rfam family "Bacterial small subunit ribosomal RNA", at positions 524 to 776 of the family's 1533-position model. The record is from RNAcentral.
UACAGAGGUCCCAAGCGUUGUUCGGAUUCAUUGGGCGUAAAGGGUGCGUAGGCGGCGCGGUAAGUCGGGUGUGAAAUCUCGGGGCUUAACUCCGAAACUGCAUUCGAUACUGCCGUGCUUGAGGACUGGAGAGGAGACUGGAAUUUACGGUGUAGCAGUGAAAUGCGUAGAUAUCGUAAGGAAGACCAGUGGCGAAGGCGAGUCUCUGGACAGCAACUGACGCUGAGGCACGAAGGCCAGGGGAGCAAACGGG